GAUGAACGCUGGCGGCGUGCCUAAUACAUGCAAGUCGAGCGAACGGACGAGAAACUUGCUUCUCUGAUGUUAGCGGCGGACGGGUGAGUAACACGUGGAUAACCUACCUAUAAGACUGGGAUAACUUCGGGAAACCGGAGCUAAUACCGGAUGAUAUUUUGAACCGCAUGGUUCAAAAGUGAAAGACGGUAUUGCUGUCACUUAUACAUGGAUCCGCGCUUCAUUAGCUAGUUGGUAAGGUAACGGCUUACCAAGGCAACGAUGCAUAGCCGACCUGAGAGGGUGACCGGCCACACUGGAACUGAGACACGGUCCAGACUCCUACGGGAGGCAGCAGUAGGGAAUCUUCCGCAAUGGGCGAAAGCCUGACGGAGCAACGCCGCGUGAGUGAUGAAGGUCUUCGGAUCGUAAAACUCUGUUAUUAGGGAAGAACAUAUGUGUAAGAAACUGUGCACAUCUUGACGGUACCUAAUCAGAAAGCCACGGCUAGCUACGUG
This 497-nucleotide ribosomal RNA is filed under the name uncultured bacterium. Its description in RNAcentral is "partial 16S ribosomal RNA". It matches the Rfam family "Bacterial small subunit ribosomal RNA", at positions 28 to 507 of the family's 1533-position model. The record is from RNAcentral.